ACUGCUUAAAGAAAGUGCCUGUCCUCA
This 27-nucleotide non-coding RNA is filed under the name Rattus norvegicus (Norway rat). Lineage: Eukaryota; Metazoa; Chordata; Mammalia; Rodentia; Muridae. The record is from RNAcentral.